This 301-nucleotide ribosomal RNA is filed under the name uncultured bacterium. Its description in RNAcentral is "partial 16S ribosomal RNA". It matches the Rfam family "Bacterial small subunit ribosomal RNA", at positions 509 to 807 of the family's 1533-position model. The record is from RNAcentral.
CAGCAGCCGCGGUAAAACGUAGGGCGCAAGCGUUAUCCGGAAUUAUUGGGCGUAAAGAGCUCGUAGGCGGUUUGUCGCGUCUGCCGUGAAAGUCCGGGGCUCAACCCCGGAUCUGCGGUGGGUACGGGCAGACUAGAGUGAUGUAGGGGAGACUGGAAUUCCUGGUGUAGCGGUGAAAUGCGCAGAUAUCAGGAGGAACACCGAUGGCGAAGGCAGGUCUCUGGGCAUUAACUGACGCUGAGGAGCGAAAGCAUGGGGAGCGAACAGGAUUAGAUACCCCUGUAGUCCCUGUCUCUUAUAC